This 253-nucleotide ribosomal RNA is filed under the name uncultured bacterium. RNAcentral describes it as "partial 16S ribosomal RNA". It matches the Rfam family "Bacterial small subunit ribosomal RNA", at positions 524 to 776 of the family's 1533-position model. The record is from RNAcentral.
UACGUAGGGGGCAAGCGUUGUCCGGAUUUAUUGGGCGUAAAGCGCGUGUAGGCGGCCAGAUAGGUCUGCUGUGAAAACUCGAGGCUCAACCUCGAGCUGUCGGCGGAAACCAUCUGGCUAGAGUCCGGAAGAGGAGAGUGGAAUUCCUGGUGUAGCGGUGAAAUGCGCAGAUAUCAGGAAGAACACCCGUGGCGAAGGCGGUUCUCUGGGACGGUACUGACGCUGAGACGCGAAAGCGUGGGGAGCGAACAGG